This 149-nucleotide ribosomal RNA is filed under the name Phyllosticta ampelicida. Its description in RNAcentral is "5.8S ribosomal RNA". It matches the Rfam family "5.8S ribosomal RNA". Rfam says of the family: 5.8S ribosomal RNA (5.8S rRNA) is a component of the large subunit of the eukaryotic ribosome. It is transcribed by RNA polymerase I as part of the 45S precursor that also contains 18S and 28S rRNA. The record is from RNAcentral. RNAcentral also lists the same sequence under 18 other names. Lineage: Eukaryota; Fungi; Ascomycota; Dothideomycetes; Botryosphaeriales; Phyllostictaceae.
ACAACGGAUCUCUUGGUUCUGGCAUCGAUGAAGAACGCAGCGAAAUGCGAUAAGUAAUGUGAAUUGCAGAAUUCAGUGAAUCAUCGAAUCUUUGAACGCACAUUGCGCCCUCUGGUAUUCCGGAGGGCAUGCCUGUUCGAGCGUCAUUU